Molecule: ribosomal RNA, 115 nt
Filed under: Ostreopsis lenticularis
Lineage: Eukaryota; Dinophyceae; Peridiniales; Ostreopsidaceae
Description: partial large subunit ribosomal RNA
Rfam family: Eukaryotic large subunit ribosomal RNA (bases 17-96)
Source: RNAcentral
GAGCAAUGUCUUAGCACCUGCUGAAUUUAAGCAUAUCAGUAAGCAGAGGAACUGCAACAAACUUGGAUUUUGCAAGUAAUUGCGAAUGAUUGCAAAUUGUGUUUACCAUUCUAAU